GGGGUUGUAGCUUAGCGGUAGAGCACUUGCAUAGCACAUGCAAGCCCUGAGUUCAAUCCUCAGCACCACA
RNAcentral lists this transfer RNA (70 nucleotides) under Marmota monax (woodchuck). RNAcentral's name for it is "tRNA.Ala". The record is from RNAcentral. Lineage: Eukaryota; Metazoa; Chordata; Mammalia; Rodentia; Sciuridae.